GACGAACGCUGGCGGCGUGCUUAACACAUGCAAGUCGAACGGAAAGGCCUUGUCGGAGGUACUUGAGUGGCGAACGGGUGAGUAACACGUGGGUGAGCUGCCCUGCACUCUGGGAGAAGCAUGGGAAAGUGGGUCUAAUACAGGACAGGACCGCACUCUAGCGGGAGGGGGGGAAAGGUUUUUCGGUGUAGGAUGAGGCUGCGGCCGAGCCGCUUGUUGGUGGGGGAAGGGCCUACCAAGGCGUCGGCGGGUAGCCGGACUGGGGGGUUGGGCGGGCCCAGUGGGGCUGGGAUACGGCCCCGACUCCUACGGGAGGCAGCAGUGGGGAAUAUUGCACAAUGGGCGCGAGCCUGAUGCAACGACGCCGCGUGGGGGGUGGCGGCCUUCGGGUUGGAAACUCCUUUCGCCAGGGACGAAGCGUUUUGUGACGGUACCUGGAGAAGAAGCACCGGCUAACUACGUG
Molecule: ribosomal RNA, 463 nt
Filed under: uncultured bacterium
Lineage: Bacteria
Description: partial 16S ribosomal RNA
Rfam family: Bacterial small subunit ribosomal RNA
Source: RNAcentral